UUCCAAAGAACAUCCCAUACAUUCAUGCUGUGAAAUAGCUUACAAUAAGCACUUGAAGAACAAGACAUCUAUAGAAAUUGAUUUGGAACAACUUCGAAGAGAAACUAAAUGGAAAGAAACUGAAUAGUGUAUCACCAGUGGAAUCAUCUUACUGAGGGGAUGAGGCUGGAAUUGUGGGCACUGGCUGUUUUGACUUUGACUAGAGGUAAAAACACAGUGCUGAAUUCGUCAUUACUGUUGCUGCCUCCUGAGAAGUUAAGUGACAAGGAGCACUGGUCUCCCGCAUCCUUAUCCUCCAGAGUGUGCUCUGGUUGUCAGGACCUGGCACUUAGGUGGGUUCAGUCAAGACGACUUUGCCUUCCUCUUCCUGCUAACAGCUGCACUGGAGCCGCCUUCGCCGUGGAUGCUGCCCCUCUCCUUGGAGAGUCACCAUCGUUCAGCAUCGCAGAGCACCCAUCAGCCCAGGAAAUUCCAAGGAAUUUAGGAGCUAUGUGCCAGGAACUCAGAGGAAGACCAAAGGUAUGUAUUUUUGUUUUGUUUUUUAAAUUUUUAUUUAUUUAUUUAUUUUUGGCUGCGUUGGGUCUUCGUUGCUGCACGCAGGCUUUCUCUAGUUGCGGCGAGUGGGAGCUACUGUUUGUUGCGGUGCGAGGGCCUCUCAUCGCGGUGGCUUCUCUUGUUGCGGAGCAUGGGCUCCAGGCGCGCGGGCUUUAGUAGUUGUGGCAUACGGGCUCAGCAGUUGUGGCUCACAGGCUCUAGAGCGCAGACUCAGUAGUUGUGGCGCACGGGCUUAGUUGCUCCACGGCAUGUGGGAUCUUCCCGGACCAGGGCUCGAACCCGUGUCCCCUGCAUUGGCAGGCGGAUUCUUAACCACUGCGCCACCAGGGAAGCCCCAAAGGUAUGUUUUUUAUUAUCGAUCACAAUAUCGUACUACUGCUUUGAAUUUUCUUAUACAUGCCUUUUCAUGAAUAUGUGCGAGCAUUUUUGUUAAGUAUAUUUCUAGGAGCGAAGCUGCUGGAUCAGAGAAUAUACAUAUGUCCAGCUUUCACAGAUGAUGCCAAACAGUCUUCCAAAGUUGUACAAUUUGUAUUCCUACCAGCGGGGUAUGAGAGUUCUGAUUGCUCCACAUCCUUGUCAACACUUGGUAUUGUCUUCUGUUUUCAUUCUGGCCAUCCUGGUGGGUAGAUAGUAGUGUUGCAUUGUUGUUUUCAUUUGCAUUUCCCUGACGGCUAAUGAAGUUAAGCAUGUUUUCAUAUGUUUAUUGGU
Molecule: long non-coding RNA, 1263 nt
Organism: Lagenorhynchus albirostris (white-beaked dolphin)
Lineage: Eukaryota; Metazoa; Chordata; Mammalia; Artiodactyla; Delphinidae
Exons: 4
Source: RefSeq, a predicted model, not a curated record